GACGAACGCUGGCGGCGUGCUUAAUACAUGCAAGUCGAACGGAAAGGCCCUGCUUUUGCGGGGUGCUCGAGUGGCGAACGGGUGAGUAACACGUGAGUAACCUGCCCUUGACUUUGGGAUAACUUCAGGAAACUGGGGCUAAUACCGGAUAGGAGCUCCUGCUGCAUGGUGGGGGUUGGAAAGUUUCGGCGGGUGGGGAUGGACUCGCGGCUUAUCAGCUUGUUGGUGGGGUAGUGGCUUACCAAGGCUUUGACGGGUAGCCGGCAUGAGAGGGUGACCGGCCACAUGAGGACUGCGAUACGGAGCAGACUCCUACGGGAGGCAGCAGUGGCGAAUAUUGCACAAUGGGCGGAAGCCUGAGGCGGCAACGCCGCGGGCGGGAUGACGGCCUGCGGGUUGUAAACCGCUUUCGCCUGUGACGAAGCGUGAGUGACGGUAAUGGGUAAAGAAGCACCGGCUAACUACGUG
This 468-nucleotide ribosomal RNA is filed under the name uncultured bacterium. RNAcentral's name for it is "partial 16S ribosomal RNA". It matches the Rfam family "Bacterial small subunit ribosomal RNA", at positions 28 to 507 of the family's 1533-position model. The record is from RNAcentral.